UCCGGUGCAGAGCGGCAAGAGGGCAGCCGUCUCACCUGCGGCUCGCAGAGCUUGGCGCCAUAGGGGGAGGGCGGCUCAGGCAGGCGCUCCGGCCUCUGCUCGAACAUCGAGUCCUCAAAUUCUCCGCCCAGCACCCAGCAUCCGGUCUCCAUGGCGCGCGCGUGCAACCGGACCUCGAAAGGAGGCGACACCUAGAGCGACGCCCAUCACCCAGCCUCCAAAGCACCAGACGGCAGCCAGGCACCGAGACAAGGGCUUCCUGAACCUCCCAACAAAGGUUUUGACUUCUCUGUGUCAGGAGCUGGAUAGAGUACUUUUUCCCUGAGUACCUCGAAAAGUCAGGGUCGCUGGGGAGCUGGUUAACUUGAACUUCCCCGACUGCAGCAGUUUGACUUUGGCACAACAUCAAGUUCCAUUUCUUUUGGACAUUGGAUUCUGUUUUGAGAGUAUGUAUGCCCCAAAGCAUUUUCAGUGUCAUCAAGGAUUGGUUGGGCCCAUUCACAGUAAUUCAGAUAUCUUGAGUUGAAGAACUUAUUCUCCUUCAGAAUUUUAAGUAGCUAUAAAAGAAAAACAGACAAACAAAACCCUGAAACUUUAAAGACAACCACAUUUUAAUUUUUGCUUUUAGAAUAAAGUAAUAACCAGUUAGCCACAAAUGCAUUCUGCAUUCUCUUUAGCAGUGAGAUCACUUACC
This is a long non-coding RNA of Grammomys surdaster, 694 nucleotides long. RefSeq lists it as uncharacterized. The record is from RefSeq and is a predicted model, not a curated record. The transcript has 3 exons. Lineage: Eukaryota; Metazoa; Chordata; Mammalia; Rodentia; Muridae.